Molecule: ribosomal RNA, 501 nt
Filed under: uncultured bacterium
Lineage: Bacteria
Description: partial 16S ribosomal RNA
Rfam family: Bacterial small subunit ribosomal RNA
Source: RNAcentral
AUUGAACGCUGGCGGCAUGCCUUACACACGCAAGUCGAACGGCAGCACGGGAGCAAUCCUGGUGGCGAGUGGCGAACGGGUGAGUAAAGUAUCGGAACGUGCCCAGUCGCGGGGGAUAACGCAGCGAAAGUUACGCUAAUACCGCAUACGAUCUAUGGAUGAAAGCGGGGGAUCGCAAGACCUCGCGCGAUUGGAGCGGCCGAUAUCAGAGUUAGGUAGUUGGUGGGGUAAAGGCCCACCAAGCCGACGAUCUGUAGCUGGUCUGAGAGGACGACCAGCCACACUGGGACUGGGACACGGCCCAGACUCCUACGGGAGGCAGGAGUGGGGAAUUUUGGACAAGGGGCGAAAGCCGGAUCCAGCCAUGCCGCGUGCAGGAUGAAGGCCUUCGGGUUGUAAACUGCUUUUGUACGGAACGAAAAGGACUGCCCUAAUACGGUGGUCCCAUGACGGUACCGUAAGAAUAAGCACCGGCUAACUACGUGCCAGCAGCCGCCGUAA